GUGCCAGCAGCCGCGGUAAUACAGAGGUCUCAAGCGUUGUUCGGAAUCACUGGGCGUAAAGGGUGCGUAGGUGGCGUGGUAAGUCAGAUGUGAAAGCCCGGGGCUCAACCUCGGAACUGCAUCCGAUACUGCCAUGCUAGAGAACUGAAGAGGAGUGUAGAAUUCUCGGUGUAGCAGUGAAAUGCGUAGAUAUCGAGAGGAAUACCAACGGCGAAGGCAGCACUCUGGGCAGUUUCUGACACUGAGGCACGAAGGCUAGGGGAGCAAACGGGAUUAGAAACCCCCGUAGUCC
RNAcentral lists this ribosomal RNA (292 nucleotides) under uncultured bacterium. RNAcentral's name for it is "partial 16S ribosomal RNA". It matches the Rfam family "Bacterial small subunit ribosomal RNA", at positions 505 to 796 of the family's 1533-position model. The record is from RNAcentral.